CGCGACGCCGACGCCUCGAACGCGCCGCAAACGUAGACGACGGCAUUCCACGGCGCUGCGAAGCCAGCGAAGCGUCUUCGGCAUCGACACCGGACUCCGGACUCAAAAGAGAAGAACGCACUCGGCGACGGAACUCCGCGGCUCCGCAACACGGACUGAUAGGUGCCAGUGCGGUUGCUGCAUGCCGAUGGAGAUCGUCGUCAGGUUGUCUGCCGCCGGGUGUACACUGCCGCCGUACGCAAGCAGCAGGGCCGGCGCGCUGCGUGACGAACCACUUGGAUUUCGACUCGCUGUGCCCCAGCCGGGGUGUGCUAUGACUAGCUUUCCAUAAUAGACGCCACUAUGGGCAGAAGAAAAUGCGGGGCGACAAGGAACAAGUGAGUACGACUUGCCGAUCGUGAAACUUGCGAUCGGCGUCGACAGCGUUCCAAUCAUCGGCGCCCGUUUUUCUUGCCCCACGUCCGCACGGGAAACCUUUCAAUAGAAAACACUUAGCGAUCAAUUGCUUUUUUUAAUGUUCGCUUCACGUGUCGGUUUAUUGUUUUUUGUUUUGUUUGCCUUGCGUUUUCGUUUUCUUGCCCAUGCCUCCCAAGCUGCGAGCCGCGGAUGAGGACCCCUCCAGCGACACGGAGUCGGAGUUGGGCUCCGGUCCGUCUUCGGUUGAGAUCCUGGCCCUCAAUGACCCUGCAGUGACCGUAUGUCUACCGCCCUCGAGUUGGUGAUGGAGCAUUUAGCAGCCGUCACGGGCGGGACCGGCGGCCAGCGGCAGUGCGAGCCAGAGGAGCUCGACGACCGCAAGUUCGUCGCCGACUUCGUGGCGGUGCUGGGCGUAUACGCAAGAGCGUCGAGCGCCUCGGACGCGUAGCGCCUCGGAUGCCUACGUGCUGAAGCGGAUCUUCCCCUUGCCUUGCCGGCGAGCGCGAGACGAUGGUGCUUCUGGUACGCUGCCUAUAGGCAGUGGAUGCUAUGGUUGUGACUGCAACUGGGGCAGAG
Molecule: long non-coding RNA, 993 nt
Filed under: Ixodes scapularis (black-legged tick)
Lineage: Eukaryota; Metazoa; Arthropoda; Arachnida; Ixodida; Ixodidae
Description: uncharacterized LOC115311517, transcript variant X3
Source: RNAcentral